GGUUUCUCUUCCAAAGUAGUGUACAUAUAAAUGUAAUCGGUCUACAAUGUCUGGUAAUAAGCUAGGGAUUUUGGAGGCUAUAGAAUGUGCCUUUGUUGUGGUGCGAAUAAAAAGGUUCGACAUCGAGCAAUAACAAGAUAAGCAGGGCUACUACUUCCCAAUCUUCGGGGGCCCUCGACAUUUGGUGCCGAAAGCACAUAAUUCGGAUGUUGAUGUAAAGAAAAAAAAACCGUCUCGAAAGACCAAACUAUGCUACACAUCGAUUAGUAUUUGAAAUUGCACUUUUUUUAUGGAAGGAUGUUGAUGUAAAGAAAAAAAAUCCGGCUCGAAGGACCAAACUAUGCCAUAACCAUUAUUGAAUCAGCCGGAAAUAUUUUUUCAUUUAACCAAAACGAUUUUAUGGCACGACUAAAAUGUUAGCAAAAACUUCUUUUAUAAAUGCCAAAAAUUGCACAAAAUUUACCUACGCCUAUGCCCGACACCGAAGUUGAUCGGUACUCUAUGGAAUGUGACUAAGUGAAUAAAAUGACUAAUACUC
Cylas formicarius (sweet potato weevil) is the source of this 538-nucleotide long non-coding RNA. RefSeq lists it as uncharacterized. The transcript has 3 exons. Lineage: Eukaryota; Metazoa; Arthropoda; Insecta; Coleoptera; Brentidae. The record is from RefSeq and is a predicted model, not a curated record.